RNAcentral lists this ribosomal RNA (510 nucleotides) under uncultured bacterium. RNAcentral describes it as "partial 16S ribosomal RNA". It matches the Rfam family "Bacterial small subunit ribosomal RNA", at positions 28 to 507 of the family's 1533-position model. The record is from RNAcentral.
GACGAACGCUGGCGGCGUGCUUAACACAUGCAAGUCGAACGAAGAGCGACGGAAGCUUGCUUCUAUCAAUCUUAGUGGCGAACGGGUGAGUAACGCGUAAUCAACCUGCCCUUCAGAGGGGGACAACAGUUGGAAACGACUGCUAAUACCGCAUACGAUCUAAUCUCGGCAUCGAGGAUGGAUGAAAGGUGACCUCUACAUGUAAGCUAUCACUGAAGGAGGGGAUUGCGUCUGAUUAGCUAGUUGGAGGGGUAACGGCCCACCAAGGCGAUGAUCAGUAGCCGGUCUGAGAGGAUGAACGGCCACAUUGGGACUGAGACACGGCCCAGACUCCUACGGGAGGCAGCAGUGGGGAAUCUUCCGCAAUGGACGAAAGUCUGACGGAGCAACGCCGCGUGAGUGAUGACGGCCUUCGGGUUGUAAAGCUCUGUUAAUCGGGACGAAAGGCCUUCUUGCGAAUAGUGAGAAGGAUUGACGGUACCGGAAUAGAAAGCCACGGCUAACUACGUG